Ixodes scapularis (black-legged tick) is the source of this 112-nucleotide non-coding RNA. Lineage: Eukaryota; Metazoa; Arthropoda; Arachnida; Ixodida; Ixodidae. The record is from Rfam.
GAUUUCUGCUCAGUGCUCUGAAUGUAAAGGUGAAGAGAUUCAUCAAAGCACGGGUCAAUGGCGGGAGUAACUAUGACUCUCUAGUGCUGAACGUCUUCAGGCACAAGGGGGU